CUGGGUUUGACAUGGAUCGGGAGUGCUCAGAGAUGGGUGUGCCUCUUUUGGGGUCGGUUCACAGGUGGUGCAUGGCUGUCGUCAGCUCGUGUCGUGAGAUGUUGGGUUAAGUCCCGCAACGAGCGCAACCCUUGUUCACUGUUGCCAGCACGUUAUGGUGGGGACUCAGUGGAGACCGCCGGGGUCAACUCGGAGGAAGGUGGGGAUGACGUCAAGUCAUCAUGCCCCUUAUGUCCAGGGCUUCACGCAUGCUACAAUGGCUGGUACAGAGAGUGGCGAGCCUGUGAGGGUGAGCGAAUCUCGGAAAGCCGGUCUCAGUUCGGAUUGGGGUCUGCAACUCGACCUCAUGAAGUCGGAGUCGCUAGUAAUCGCAGAUCAGCAACGCUGCGGUGAAUACGUUCCCGGGGCUUGUACACACCGCCCGUCAAGUCAUGAAAGUUGGUAACACCCGAAGCCGGUGGCCUAACCGUUGUGGGGGAGCCGUCGAAGGUGGGACUGGUGAUUAGGACU
RNAcentral lists this ribosomal RNA (510 nucleotides) under uncultured bacterium. RNAcentral describes it as "bacterial SSU rRNA". It matches the Rfam family "Bacterial small subunit ribosomal RNA", at positions 975 to 1482 of the family's 1533-position model. The record is from RNAcentral.